RNAcentral lists this ribosomal RNA (627 nucleotides) under Pediococcus sp. QCH-66. Its description in RNAcentral is "bacterial SSU rRNA". It matches the Rfam family "Bacterial small subunit ribosomal RNA", at positions 583 to 1213 of the family's 1533-position model. Lineage: Bacteria; Bacillati; Bacillota; Bacilli; Lactobacillales; Lactobacillaceae. The record is from RNAcentral.
CUUUAUCUAUGUGAAAGCCUUCGGCUCACCGAAGAAGUGCAUUGGAAACUGGGAGACUUGAGUGCAGAAGAGGACAGUGGAACUCCAUGUGUAGCGGUGAAAUGCGUAGAUAUAUGGAAGAACACCAGUGGCGAAGGCGGCUGUCUGGUCUGCAACUGACGCUGAGGCUCGAAAGCAUGGGUAGCGAACAGGAUUAGAUACCCUGGUAGUCCAUGCCGUAAACGAUGAAUGCUAAGUGUUGGAGGGUUUCCGCCCUUCAGUGCUGCAGCUAACGCAUUAAGCAUUCCGCCUGGGGAGUACGACCGCAAGGUUGAAACUCAAAAGAAUUGACGGGGGCCCGCACAAGCGGUGGAGCAUGUGGUUUAAUUCGAAGCUACGCGAAGAACCUUACCAGGUCUUGACAUCUUCUGACAGUCUAAGAGAUUAGAGGUUCCCUUCGGGGACAGAAUGACAGGUGGUGCAUGGUUGUCGUCAGCUCGUGUCGUGAGAUGUUGGGUUAAGUCCCGCAACGAGCGCAACCCUUAUUACUAGUUGCCAGCAUUUAGUUGGGCACUCUAGUGAGACUGCCGGUGACAAACCGGAGGAAGGUGGGGACGACGUCAAAUCAUCAUGCCCCUUAUGCCUGGG